Molecule: ribosomal RNA, 1185 nt
Filed under: Triticum aestivum (bread wheat)
Lineage: Eukaryota; Viridiplantae; Streptophyta; Magnoliopsida; Poales; Poaceae
Description: partial small subunit ribosomal RNA
Source: RNAcentral
AUGGAGGUUGGUAACGGGGGCGAUUCGGCCAUGGAUGUGGAGGCGCAAGUGACCCCGGUCCCGGGCGGCGGCGCCUCACCGGCGAGGCGGCUGGGCCUCAAGAACAGCAUCCAGACCAACUUCGGCGACGACUACGUUUUCCAGAUAGCUUCUUGUCAGGAGAUCUCAAAGCUCGCGGUUUCUCUGUCGACAAACGCACUCAAGUUCUAUGCUCCAGCAACUGGGCAGUAUCUGGGCGAAUGCACAGGGCAUACAGGGUCCAUCCAUGAGAUUGCCUUUUCAGCUCCGUCAUCGCCGCAAGUGAUAUGCUCUUGCUCUGCUGAUGGAACCAUCAGAGCCUGGGACACAAGGAGCUUUAAGCAGAUAUCUUUGCUAAAUGCUGGCCCCUCGCAUGAAAUGUUUACCUUCUCCUUUGGUGGAACAAGUGGUAACCUACUUGCUGCUGGUUCUAACUCCAAGGUUCUGUUGUGGGACUGGAGAAGUUCAAAACAGGUAGCCUGCUUAGAGGAAUCCCACAUGGACGAUGUAACCCAGGUUCGAUUUGCGCCAAAUCAACAGAGUAAACUCAUUUCUGCGGCAGUCGAUGGGUUAAUGUGCGUCUUCGACACCGAUGGUGAUAUCAAUGAGGACGACCAUUUGCUAACUGUUAUGAAUGUGGAGACUUCUGUUUCUAAGGUGGGUUUCUAUGGAAACACGUAUCAGAAGCUUUGGUGUUUGACUCAUAUUGAAACACUAAGCACUUGGGACUGGAAUGAUGGGACUAGAGAAUUGAACAUAGAGAAUGCUCGUUCCCUGGCUAGUGACAAGUGGAACCUUGACCAUUUGGACUACUUCGUCGACUGCCACUACUCUCUGCCUGAUGACCGGUUAUGGGCAAUAGGUGGCACCAGCGAGGGGACACUAGGUUACUUCCCUGUAAAAAACGAUCCUGCGGGAGCGAUCGAUUGGGCGGAGGCUGUCCUCGAAGGAGGCCACACAGGAGUCAUCAGGACCAUAUGCCCAGGUGGAAGCAGUCUUCAGAGCCUUGGCCAAAACAAGGGCAUCUUUGGGUGGACAGGAGGUGAAGAUGGCCGGCUAUGUUGCUGGCGCUCCGACGACGCCGUAGCAACAAAAAAGUCCUGGAUCUCUAGUACGCUCGUGUCACGCAUGGACAAGAAAAUGAAAAUCCGACAUCAGCCCUACUGA